RNAcentral lists this transfer RNA (93 nucleotides) under Actinomycetaceae bacterium. RNAcentral describes it as "tRNA-Ser". It matches the Rfam family "tRNA". From Rfam's summary of the family: Transfer RNA (tRNA) molecules are approximately 80 nucleotides in length. Their secondary structure includes four short double-helical elements and three loops (D, anti-codon, and T loops). Lineage: Bacteria; Bacillati; Actinomycetota; Actinomycetes; Actinomycetales; Actinomycetaceae. The record is from RNAcentral.
GGAGACAUGGCAGAGCGGUCGAAUGCGCUUCCCUGCUAAGGAAGUAUAGGUAGUAGAUAUCUAUCGAGGGUUCAAAUCCCUCUGUCUCCGCCA